AAUCCAGACUCCUACGGGAGGCAGCAGUGGGGAAUAUUGCACAAUGGGGGGAACCCUGAUGCAGCGACGCCGCGUGGGUGAAGGAGUAUUUCGGUAUGUAAAGCCCUAUCAGCAGGGAAGAACAAUGACGGUACCUGACUAAGAAGCACCGGCUAAAUACGUGCCAGCAGCCGCGGUAAUACGUAUGGUGCAAGCGUUAUCCGGAUUUACUGGGUGUAAAGGGCGUGUAGCCGGGCUUACAAGUCAGAUGUGAAAUCCGGGGGCUCAACCCCCGAACUGCAUUUGAAACUGUAGGUCUUGAGUAUCGGAGAGGCAGGCGGAAUUCCUAGUGUAGCGGUGAAAUGCGUAGAUAUUAGGAGGAACACCAGUGGCGAAGGCGGCCUGCUGGACGACAACUGACGGUGAGGCGCGAAAGCGUGGGGAGCAAACAGGAUUAGAUACCCGGGUA
Molecule: ribosomal RNA, 448 nt
Filed under: uncultured bacterium
Lineage: Bacteria
Description: bacterial SSU rRNA
Rfam family: Bacterial small subunit ribosomal RNA
Source: RNAcentral